RNAcentral lists this transfer RNA (71 nucleotides) under Ictidomys tridecemlineatus (thirteen-lined ground squirrel). Its description in RNAcentral is "Spermophilus tridecemlineatus (thirteen-lined ground squirrel) tRNA". It matches the Rfam family "tRNA". From Rfam's summary of the family: Transfer RNA (tRNA) molecules are approximately 80 nucleotides in length. The record is from Rfam by way of RNAcentral. Lineage: Eukaryota; Metazoa; Chordata; Mammalia; Rodentia; Sciuridae.
GUGGCUGUGGCUCAGUGGUAGAGCACUUGCCUGGUACAUGUGAGGCACUGGGUUUGAUCCUCAGCACCACA